GACGAACGCUGGCGGCGUGCUUAACACAUGCAAGUCGAACGGAAAGGCCCUGCUUUUGUGGGGUGCUCGAGUGGCGAACGGGUGAGUAACACGUGAGUAACCUGCUCUUGACUUUGGGAUAACUUCAGGAAACUGGGGCUAAUACCGGAUAGGAGCUCCUGUUGCAUGGUGGGGGUUGGAAAGUUUCGGCGGUUGGGGAUGGACUCGCGGCUUAUCAGCUUGUUGGUGGGGUAGUGGCUUACCAAGGCUUUGACGGGUAGCCGGCCUGAGAGGGUGACCGGCCACAUUGGGUCUGGGAUGCAGCACAGGCUACUACGGGAGGAAGGAGUGAAGAAUAUUGCAGAAAGGGCGGGUGGGUGAUGCAGGCACGCCGCGUGCGGAAUGACGGCGUUCGGGUUGUAAAGCACUUUCGUCUGACGAAGCGUGAGUGACGGUAAUGGGUGAAGAAGCACCGGCUAACUACGUG
This 466-nucleotide ribosomal RNA is filed under the name uncultured bacterium. Its description in RNAcentral is "partial 16S ribosomal RNA". It matches the Rfam family "Bacterial small subunit ribosomal RNA", at positions 28 to 507 of the family's 1533-position model. The record is from RNAcentral.